This 3002-nucleotide long non-coding RNA is filed under the name Bemisia tabaci. RNAcentral describes it as "lncRNA ENSASIAIIG006460". The record is from RNAcentral. Lineage: Eukaryota; Metazoa; Arthropoda; Insecta; Hemiptera; Aleyrodidae.
UCCAACAUCCUCGAAGUCCGGGACAAAACGCCAGCCAUGUACACGCGCGGCACCGUCAAGAACCACGAAAUCUUCCUCAACUGCGCUGUUGACAGGUAUCCAGACGAAUACUUACUAACCGUGGAACGGACUUAUCCUAGAAGGCAUUCAGUGGCCCUCAUCACGAAUCUGAGAGAACAGCCUCAGACAAGGGAUCUCUCGUCUAUUUACUUCGGUGGCUACGUGCUUGGAGGAAUAAGUCACUACCUGGACGGCCAGUACCUUCAGUUCCACUCUUUGACCGUUUUCCCUGGCGAGGCGCUCAUCGUCAAACUCGACAAGUGAACAGACAACAGGAACAAAGAAACUUGUUGAAAAAAUCGCGGACCUACUAUGGUACUGUCGUGGACCGUACGUUGUUCUUUAAGGUGAUUCGAUGGACGCCAUAUUUUGUGUCAGAACGACAUGCGAUAUAUCGCAUCUAUUGGUUCCAUUUUUUCAGCUACUCGUCAUUUUUCUCCAAUUUUGAGAUCGCAAUUCUGUUGUCAGGAGACUAUAGCACUCACUUACCAAUGUUAUCAAAGAAAUUCAACGUAAUAAAGGCGUGGCUUUUUAGAGAGAAAAUAUCGCAUUCGAGUGCAGUUUCGAUACCGGUAUCGAAUACGAUGUUUUCUCUCUAAAAAAAAAACCACGCCUUUAUUACGUUGAAUUUCUUUGUUAAAAUUGGUAAGUGAGUGCUAUAGUCUCCUGACAACAGAAUUGCGAUCUCAAAAUUGGAGAAAAAUGACGAAUAGCUGAAAAAAUGGAACCAAUUGAUGCGAUUUAUCGCAUGCCGUUCUGACACAAAAUAUGGCGUCCAUCGAAUCACCUUAGUAGUCUCGCUGUAAACAGAUACUCUCUACUUGAUGUCCUCCAUAGGUCUGAUAUCCACCGCGGACUGCAGGUGCGCUACGGUUGUUUACCCGAGAGGCCCUCCAAGUCCAAGAGGAAUUCUAUCUGUUCAUUUUAAAAAUGUGACGCAUAAAUAAGUCGUUUGGGUCGAGUUUUUACUUCUCAGCUAAAUCAUUUACUAGCUCAUUCGAUGACUUAUAUGUAGAUCCAAUGAUCAGAGCAAGGCGAAACAGUGCAUUUGAUUGAAAUGCGUAUGAAUAAUUUGAUUCACAUUAACCUUCUAACGGGAAAGAACAUUCAGUUUACAUCCCGAAUGUGUAAGUAGCGCUGCGUUGCGUGCGUACAAAAUUAGCUAAAAAUUUCGUUUAGAAGACAAUUUUUACGGAAAAUGAGAGAGAAAAAUAGGAUCGGAAAUUUUUUUACAGAACCAUGAUUUACAGUUACGCGGUUUUUACGAGAGAAUACUCAGGGUGUAACAUUUAGUUAUUUACUCCUGAGGAAGUUUCAUUUAUGACGAUUUUUUUAAAAAAAUUAAUGACUCUUUUGAUUCGAGAAUAUAAUUAUCUCUUGAGUUGAAAAUGGUGGAAACUCUGUAACUUAGAAAUAGUAAUACACUGAUGCGCGCUCUAAUGUAUGGAGCGAAUGGGUAACUAUACUAAAAAUUUAAUACGAUGAGUGUUUUUAUCAGAUAUGAAUAACAUUUAAUUUUUUAUCAUCGUGAAAAGGGUGAACAACGUGGCAAAAUACUAUAGAAAUAAAAUUUAUUUUGUUACCUCCUUGUUCUUAAAUUAAUAUCAUCAUAAGGGUGAUGAUGCAGAUACGAAGAGGACAUAUUUGAGCUGCAUUGCUUAAAAAUUGAAGACGCCUAGAUUCUCAUCCUCCUAAAUCUUUCCUAUUCUUGAAAAAUCGACCAGGAAAAAUAUUUUUCUAAACGAUAGUCGUAGUAUUACGUGAUUAGUCAAUAAGUUUAUGUUAAGCAAACACGGAUAUCACUUUUUAUGAUAAAUUUAAGAGUAAAUUUUAAGAACGGAAUUUGAAAUUGAUUUAUGAAAUUUUUAUUUUCUCUUACAGUGAAAGCAAAACAGAAUUUUUAGUCAUUAUGAGAAAAAUUCUUGAAAAAAUGGAGGAAUAAAAAUCUAAUUAAUGAGCAUUCGCCAUACGCUUAAAUGUUUAUGUAAUGUAGAAUUGCAGACUCAACGAAGGAUUACAAUAUAACAUAAUAAAUAAAACAGCACUGUCACAUUUGGGAGCAAAAAACUUACUGGCCAAGGAGGGUGAUUUUUUCUGUACUUAAAAGUCCUACAUGAGAAAAACAAAUCAAAGGGGCUUUGUGCCCCCAUCAAAUUUAUAUCAAAGGUCCUUACUUAUAGAUAGCUUACUUACAUGUAGAUAAUCAUUAAAUGAGUUAGAGGUAAUAAAUGCGAUAAUAUCACCGAAUCGUAUUAUUAUUGCCUAUUUACUCUCUGUACGUUUUUCUGCAUUUAAGUUUAAACGACAUUACACCUUCAUUUUGUUUUCAUUUGCUCAAAGUUGGUCAUGGCUAAGGUCAAGUUUUCUUUGGUCCAAUCUUCAACGUUACGAUGGAUUUGGUAAAAUUGUAAGGUGAUACUAUUUUGUAUUAUUUUUAUUCAAUACUGGAAAAGAUUUAAGAUGCGGAAAUUCAUGAAAAGUUAGAAUAAAUUGGUGCUAUUUUACUCGACAGGCUAUAAAAUAGCCUUCUAUCUGUAUUAUUUUAUUCAUGUCAAUCAAUGUUCUAUACCUCGGAAAUGUAGCAGAUGAGCGGAUUUCUUAAUGUUUGUGACUCCCGGAGAAAGCAUUCUAACAAAAUGAGAGAAAAAAGGAAAAACUUUCAAAUUUUUGCUUAAUCAGAUUAGGUAAACCUUCAAAUGAUAAAUAAAAAAAAUAUUUGAUUGGAGUUUUAAUAAAGUAGUUUGAUUUUUAAUGUAUAAAUCAGAUCAUUUGGAUGUCGCAAGCUAGUCUCAUUUGAAUUGACAGAAAUCUAAAAUGACCUGCUUUCUCUUGGAAGAUUCACGGACCUUUUUAUACAUUUCAUCUGUGCUGAUUCUGUUAAUCACUGAUUCACCUCUGAUAAUUUUUACAGAGUAUUUUAAUAAACGUUUUUAUUUGUUCAU